CAGCAGCCGCGGGAAUACGUAGGGUGCAAGCGUUAAUCGGAAUUACUGGGCGUAAAGCGUGCGCAGGCGGUUCGUUAAGACAGAUGUGAAAUCCCCGGGCUUAACCUGGGAACUGCAUUUGUGACUGGCGGGCUAGAGUAUGGCAGAGGGGGGUAGAAUUCCACGUGUAGCAGCGAAAUGCGUAGAGAUGUGGAGGAAUACCGAUGGCGAAGGCAGCCCCCUGGGCCAAUACUGACGCUCAUGCACGAAAGCGUGGGGAGCAAACAGGAUUAGAUACCCGAGUAGUCCCUGUCUCUUAUAC
This 301-nucleotide ribosomal RNA is filed under the name uncultured bacterium. RNAcentral describes it as "partial 16S ribosomal RNA". It matches the Rfam family "Bacterial small subunit ribosomal RNA", at positions 509 to 807 of the family's 1533-position model. The record is from RNAcentral.